This 242-nucleotide long non-coding RNA is filed under the name Prunus dulcis (almond). RNAcentral's name for it is "sRNA ncRNA". The record is from RNAcentral. Lineage: Eukaryota; Viridiplantae; Streptophyta; Magnoliopsida; Rosales; Rosaceae.
AUGUCAGAACGCCAUUGCUGCUGCCUGCUGAUAGAACUCUAUUAAAAAGUACAGAGGUCAUGAUGGACCCAGUUUCAUUUACCAAACUUCAAAACCAGAACGUGAUGAUAGCCACAAAUAUGCUUGAGCUCAAUGCUUUUAUGAGUGGAACAAUUAUUGGGUUCACUCUAUUCUUGUACAUUUAUUUUAUCUGUAAUAGAAGAGCACUGUGGACCAUUUUCAUUUAUCAAAGUUCUCACUGA